This 301-nucleotide ribosomal RNA is filed under the name uncultured bacterium. RNAcentral's name for it is "partial 16S ribosomal RNA". It matches the Rfam family "Bacterial small subunit ribosomal RNA", at positions 509 to 807 of the family's 1533-position model. The record is from RNAcentral.
CAGUAGCCGCGGUAAUACGAAGGGUGCAAGCGUUAAUCGGAAUUACUGGGCGUAAAGCGCGCGUAGGUGGUUUGGUAAGAUGGAUGUGAAAUCCCCGGGCUCAACCUGGGAACUGCAUCCAUAACUGCCUGACUAGAGUACGGUAGAGGGUGGUGGAAUUUACUGUGUAGCGGUGAAAUGCGUAGAUAUAGGAAGGAACACCAGUGGCGAAGGCGACCACCUGGACUGUUACUGACACUGAGGUGCGAAAGCGUGGGGAGCAAACAGGAUUAGAUACCCCGGUAGUCCCUGUCUCUUAUAC